RNAcentral lists this non-coding RNA (126 nucleotides) under uncultured Pyramimonadales. Lineage: Eukaryota; Viridiplantae; Chlorophyta; Pyramimonadophyceae; Pyramimonadales. The record is from RNAcentral.
UUGGUGGGAUAUGGAUUCGGAGCGUCUUUCGUGGCUCUGUUUGCCCAGCUUGGUGGUGGGAUCUACACGAAGGCUGCGGACGUUGGAGCCGACUUGGUCGGCAAGGUUGAGGCUGGUAUCCCUGAA